CUGAGCAUUUCAUACGCAGGCCCAUCCUGUGAACUUUAAGGAUUUGGGCACAGAUGGUGGAUGGGAAUCCAGCCCAGCCCUUCACAAGCUGCCGUCCCGGCAGGAGCCGUUGCUGUGCCGCUGCAGAGGGUGAAGAAAUUGAGGCACAGAAGCGUUUAGGGCUACCAAGGUACCACAGUCUCUAAGAAUCCAGCUUGUCUCCAGGGAAGGGCUGUGCUACCAGUGCUGGAAGAAGAAAAGAAACACCUGUACCCUGGCAUUGACCUUCACAGCCUGAUUAGCUGAAAUCAAAGUAAUGGGGUUAGAUCAGCCUCGGGGCAGGGAAUGGAAGUGGCAGACGGGUGGUGUUUUGGUGGUUCUGCUACGAGGUAGCAGCAUCUGAAGCCCUUGUAGGACCUUCCUCAAAGAACAUGAGCUGGAGUUUGCCAACAGGAGCACAGAGAAGAGCUGAUUCUUGCAGGAACCUCCAGAUGCUAUUGUAGUGUGUAGGGAUGAAAAUAAUAAUAA
Falco peregrinus (peregrine falcon) is the source of this 507-nucleotide long non-coding RNA. RefSeq lists it as uncharacterized. The transcript is spliced from 2 exons. The record is from RefSeq and is a predicted model, not a curated record. Lineage: Eukaryota; Metazoa; Chordata; Aves; Falconiformes; Falconidae.